GACGAACGCUGGCGGCGUGCUUAACACAUGCAAGUCGAACGGAAAGGCCCUGCUUUUGUGGGGUGCUCGAGUGGCGAACGGGUGAGUAACACGUGAGUAACCUGCCCUUGACUUUGGGAUAACUUCAGGAAACUGGGGCUAAUACCGGAUAGGAGCUCCUGCUGCAUGGUGGGGGUUGGAAAGUUUCGGCGGUUGGGGAUGGACUCGCGGCUUAUCAGCUUGUUGGUGGGGUAGUGGCUUACCAAGGCUUUGACGGGUAGCCGGCCUGAGAGGGUGACCGGCCACAUUGGGACUGAGAUACGGCCCAGACUCCUACGGGAGGCAGCAGUGGGGAAUAUUGCACAAUGGGCGGAAGCCUGAUGCAGCAACGCCGCGUGCGGGAUGACGGCCUUCGGGUUGUAAACCGCUUUCGCCUGUGACGAAGCGUGAGUGACGGUAAUGGGUAAAGAAGCACCGGCUAACUACGUGCCAGCAGCCGCGGUGAUACGUAGGGUGCGAGCGUUGUCCGGAUUUAUUGGGCGUAAAGGGCUCGUAGGUGGUUGAUCGCGUCGGAAGUGUAAUCUUGGGGCUUAACCCUGAGCGUGCUUUCGAUACGGGUUGACUUGAGGAAGGUAGGGGAGAAUGGAAUUCUGUGGGAGCGGUGGAAUGCGCAGAUAUCAGGAGGAACACCAGUGGCGAAGGCGGUUCUCUGGGCCUUUCCUGACGCUGAGGAGCGAAAGCGUGGGGAGCGAACAGGCUUAGAUACCCUGGUAGUCCACGCUGUAAACGGUGGGUACUAGGUGUGGGGUCCAUUCCACGGGUUCCGUGCCGUAGCUAACGCUUUAAGUACCCCGCCUGGGGAGUACGGCCGCAAGGCUAAAACUCAAAGGAAUUGACGGGGCCCCGCACAAGCGGCGGAGCAUGCGGAUUAAUUCGAUGCAACGCGUAGAACCUUACCUGGGUUUGACAUGGAUCGGGAGUGCUCAGAGAUGGGUGUGCCUCUUUUGGGGUCGGUUCACAGGUGGUGCAUGUCUGUCGUCAGCUCGUGUCGUGAGAUGUUGGGUUAAGUCCCGCAACGAGCGCAACCCUUGUUCACUGUUGCCAGCACGUUAUGGUGGGGACUCAGUGGAGACCGCCGGGGUCAACUCGGAGGAAGGUGGGGAUGACGUCAAGUCCUCAUGCCCCUUAUGUCCAGGGCUUCACGCAUGCUACAAUGGCUGGUACAGAGAGUGGCGAGCCUGUGAGGGUGAGCGAAUCUCGGAAAGCCGGUCUCAGUUCGGAUUGGGGUCUGCAACUCGACCUCAUGAAGUCGGAGUCGCUAGUAAUCGCAGAUCAGCAACGCUGCGGUGAAUACGUUCCCGGG
This 1342-nucleotide ribosomal RNA is filed under the name uncultured bacterium. Its description in RNAcentral is "16S ribosomal RNA". It matches the Rfam family "Bacterial small subunit ribosomal RNA", at positions 28 to 1378 of the family's 1533-position model. The record is from RNAcentral.